Molecule: ribosomal RNA, 433 nt
Filed under: uncultured bacterium
Lineage: Bacteria
Description: partial 16S ribosomal RNA
Rfam family: Bacterial small subunit ribosomal RNA
Source: RNAcentral
AACGAACGCUGGCGGCAGGCUUAACACAUGCAAGUCGAGCGAGACCUUCGGGUCUAGCGGCGGACGGGUGAGUAACGCGUGGGAACGUGCCCUUCUCUACGGAAUAGCCCCGGGAAACUGGGAGUAAUACCGUAUACGCCCUUUGGGGGAAAGAUUUAUCGGAGAAGGAUCGGCCCGCGUUGGAAUAGGUAGUUGGUGGGGUAAUGGCCCACCAAGCCGACGAUCCAUAGCUGGUUUGAGAGGAUGAUCAGCCACACUGGGACUGAGACACGGCCCAGACUCCUACGGGAGGCAGCAGUGGGGAAUCUUAGACAAUGGGGGCAACCCUGAUCUAGCCAUGCCGCGUGAGUGAUGAAGGCCUUAGGGUUGUAAAGCUCUUUCAGCUGGGAAGAUAAUGACGGUACCAGCAGAAGAAGCCCCGGCUAACUCCGUG